GACGAACGCUGGCGGCGUGCCUAAUACAUGCAAGUCGAGCGGACAGAUGGGAGCUUGCUCCCUGAUGUUAGCGGCGGACGGGUGAGUAACACGUGGGUAACCUGCCUGUAAGACUGGGAUAACUCCGGGAAACCGGGCUAAUACCGGAUGCUUGUUGAACCGCAUGGUUCAAACAUAAAAGGUGGCUUCGGCUACCACUUACAGAUGGACCCGCGGCGCAUUAGCUAGUUGGUGAGGUAAUGGCUCACCAAGGCGACGAUGCGUAGCCGACCUGAGAGGUGAUCGGCCACACUGGGGACUGAGUACACGGCCAGACUCCUACGGGAGCAGCAGUAGGAAUCUUCGCAAUGGACGAAAGUCUAGACGAGCAACGCCGCGUGAGUGAUGAAGGUUUCGGAUCGUAAAGCUCUGUUGUUAGGGAAGAACAAGUACCGUUCGAAUAGGCGGUACCUUGACGUACCUAACCAGAAAGCCACGGCUAACUACGUGCCAGCAGCCGC
Molecule: ribosomal RNA, 500 nt
Filed under: uncultured bacterium
Lineage: Bacteria
Description: bacterial SSU rRNA
Rfam family: Bacterial small subunit ribosomal RNA
Source: RNAcentral